GUCCACGCCCUAACGAUGGAUACUCGACAUACGCGAUACACAGUGUGUGUCUGAGCGAAAGCAUUAAGUAUCCCACCUGGGAAGUACGAUCGCAAGAUUGAAACUCAAAGGAAUUGGCGGGGUCCGGCACAAGCGGUGGAGCAUGUGGUUUAAUUCGAUGAUACGCGAGGAACCUUACCUGGGCUAGAAUGUUGGGAGACCGUGGGUGAAAGCUCACUUUGUAGCAAUACACUGCCAAUAAGGUGCUGCAUGGCUGUCGU
This 260-nucleotide ribosomal RNA is filed under the name uncultured bacterium. RNAcentral describes it as "partial 16S ribosomal RNA". It matches the Rfam family "Bacterial small subunit ribosomal RNA", at positions 793 to 1055 of the family's 1533-position model. The record is from RNAcentral.